This 313-nucleotide ribosomal RNA is filed under the name uncultured bacterium. RNAcentral describes it as "bacterial SSU rRNA". It matches the Rfam family "Bacterial small subunit ribosomal RNA", at positions 28 to 334 of the family's 1533-position model. The record is from RNAcentral.
GAUGAACGCUGGCGGCGUGCCUAACACAUGCAAGUCGAACGGACUCAUACUGAAACCUAGUGAUCUAUGAGUUAGUGGCGGACGGGUGAGUAACGCGUGGAUAACCUGCCGUAUACCGGGGGAUAACACUUAGAAAUAGGUGCUAAUACCGCAUGAGCGCACAGCUCCGCAUGGGGCGGUGUGAAAAACUCCGGUGGUAUACGAUGGAUCCGCGUCUGAUUAGCCAGUUGGCGGGGUAACGGCCCACCAAAGCGACGAUCAGUAGCCGGCCUGAGAGGGUGAACGGCCACAUUGGGACUGAGACACGGCCCAG